CAGGAUGAAGUUGGAGUGCACCUUGCCAUGAGCACUCCCUAUUGGCGUUUGCCUUGCCAUUUCUCAAUUUUGUCAAGGGCAAACUCUACCUGGCCUUGAGGGACCAUUUCUGGAGGUAAAUCUGCCUGAGGCAAAUCCAGGCAGCACUUCAACUUCCUGCACACUUUUUUGUCUUGGUUGGUUGGUUUUUCCAUGUUUUGUUUUAAACUCACCUUGUUUGGUUUUUUGUUUCUCUCUUUUUUUUUUUUUUCAAUUGGGAAAGGUAUCAGGAGGCAUGGGGAGACUGAGAAAGCACUUUGGAAGUGAUCCCCACACUUUAUUCUUUAGCCUGUGGAAGUAAUGGGGACUUAGACCUCCAUUAGAGAUUUAAUAGCAGGAUGAGACAAAAGGAUACGCAGCAGGCCUGAAAGGUCCUUCCUCUCCUGAGUUGUCCCCAUCAAGUCAAUGGGUAAAUGUCUGUGGAAGAGGACCACACUGAAGUUCUGUUGGCCUGAACUGAGUGGACCGGUCGCAACUGAAGGUCAGAAUCAUUUUCCUGCCAACUCUAACCAUCCAGAGCUGUAGGUCAAACAAACGGCUUUGUGCUGUGCGCCAAAUGUAGACUGAUAUGGAGCCUUUGAAGUAAGAAAUGUGAGCUGUCUUCUCCCCACAGAUUUUGGUCCUCCUGAUAAGUGGAUGCACAACUGACACACCACUCUUUGACCCAUUUAUGAGCACUUCACUGCUGUAUUAGCUUUACGGUAAUUCUCAGAAAUUAGGGGAAUACUUAUCAAAAGUAUAGAAAACUUUGAAUAGAGAAAGCAGAAUAAAACAAGUUUUACAGA
Molecule: long non-coding RNA, 824 nt
Organism: Pezoporus occidentalis (night parrot)
Lineage: Eukaryota; Metazoa; Chordata; Aves; Psittaciformes; Psittacidae
Exons: 4
Source: RefSeq, a predicted model, not a curated record